RNAcentral lists this ribosomal RNA (384 nucleotides) under uncultured bacterium. RNAcentral's name for it is "partial 16S ribosomal RNA". It matches the Rfam family "Bacterial small subunit ribosomal RNA", at positions 524 to 906 of the family's 1533-position model. The record is from RNAcentral.
GACGGAGGGUGCAAGCGUUGUUCRGAUUGACUGGGCGUAAAGGGCGUGUAGGCGGUCGGYCAAGUCYGMUGUGAAAGCCCGGGGCUCASCYCCGGAAGKGCRKCGGAAACUARCCGGCUGGAGCGCGAUAGAGGAGGGUGGAAUUCCUGGUGUAGCGGUGAAAUGCGUAGAUAUCAGGAGGAACACCGGCGGCGAAGGCGGCCCUCUGGAUCGUUGCUGACGCUGAGACGCGAAAGCGUGGGGAGCAAACAGGAUUAGAUACCCUGGUAGUCCACGCUGUAAACUAUGGGUACUAGGUGUUYGGGGUAUUGACCCCCUGAGUGCCGCAGCUAACGCAUUAAGUACCCCGCCUGGGGACUACGGCCGCAAGGUUAAAACUCAAAG